RNAcentral lists this transfer RNA (67 nucleotides) under Cheumatopsyche charites. RNAcentral's name for it is "tRNA-Pro". The record is from RNAcentral. Lineage: Eukaryota; Metazoa; Arthropoda; Insecta; Trichoptera; Hydropsychidae.
CAAUUAAUAGUUUAUUAAAAUAAUAAUUUUGGAGAUUAUUGAUAUAAAAUAUGUUUUAUUUAAUUGA